RNAcentral lists this ribosomal RNA (253 nucleotides) under uncultured bacterium. RNAcentral describes it as "partial 16S ribosomal RNA". It matches the Rfam family "Bacterial small subunit ribosomal RNA", at positions 524 to 776 of the family's 1533-position model. The record is from RNAcentral.
UACGGAGGGUGCAAGCGUUAUCCGGAUUUACUGGGUUUAAAGGGUGCGUAGGCGGGUUGAUAAGUCAGUGGUGAAAUACUAUAGCUUAACUAUGGAACUGCCGUUGAUACUAUCAAUCUUGAAUACAGUGGAGGCGGGCGGAAUGUGUCAUGUAGCGGUGAAAUGCUUAGAUAUGACACAGAACACCUAUUGCGAAGGCAGCUCGCUACACUGUUAUUGACGCUGAUGCACGAAAGCGUGGGGAUCAAGCAGG